This 499-nucleotide ribosomal RNA is filed under the name uncultured bacterium. Its description in RNAcentral is "partial 16S ribosomal RNA". It matches the Rfam family "Bacterial small subunit ribosomal RNA", at positions 899 to 1397 of the family's 1533-position model. The record is from RNAcentral.
ACUCAAAGGAAUAGACGGGGGCCCGCACAAGCGGUGGAUCAUGUGGUUUAAUUCGAAGCAACGCGAAGAACCUUACCUGGGUUUGACAUCCUCUGACAUCCAUAGAGAUAUGGCUUUCGUAGCAAUACGACAGAGUGACAGGUGCUGCAUGGCUGUCGUCAGCUCGUGGGGUGACCUGUUGGGUUAAGUCCCGCAACGAGCGCAACCCCUGUCUUUAGUUGCCAGCAUUAAGUUGGGCACUCUAGAGAGACUGCCGUGGUUAACACGGAGGAAGGUGGGGAUGACGUCAAGUCCUCAUGGCCCUUAUGCCCAGGGCGACACACGUGAUACAAUGGUCGGUACAGAGGGCAGCGAAGUGGUGACACGAAGCAAAUCUCAAAAAGCCGAUCUCAGUUCGGAUUGGAGUCUGCAAUUCGACUCCAUGAAGGCGGAAUCGCUAGUAAUCGCGGAUCAGCACGCCGCGGUGAAUACGUUCCCGGGCCUUGUACACACCGCCCGU